GGGGUCGUAGCUCAAUUGGUAGAGCACUGCGCUGGCAGCGCAGGGGUUGAGGGUUCGAGUCCCUUCGAUUCCACCA
RNAcentral lists this transfer RNA (76 nucleotides) under Collibacillus ludicampi. RNAcentral describes it as "tRNA-Ala". It matches the Rfam family "tRNA". Rfam says of the family: Transfer RNA (tRNA) molecules are approximately 80 nucleotides in length. Lineage: Bacteria; Bacillati; Bacillota; Bacilli; Caryophanales; Alicyclobacillaceae. The record is from RNAcentral.